RNAcentral lists this unclassified non-coding RNA (571 nucleotides) under Hevea brasiliensis (rubber tree). The record is from RNAcentral. Lineage: Eukaryota; Viridiplantae; Streptophyta; Magnoliopsida; Malpighiales; Euphorbiaceae.
GGAAAGUCGGGGAAGCUACAAAAAAGGCUGAGGAUCUGGCUGGAAACACUUGGCAGCAUUUGAAAACAAGUCCAAGUUUUGCGGAUGCUGCGCUGGGGAGAAUUGCGCAAGGGACAAAGGUAUUGGCGGAAGGGGGCUAUGAAAAGAUUUUUCAACAAACUUUUGACACAGUGCCUGAGGAAAAACUUCAAAAUUCGUUUGCUUGCUAUUUGUCAACGUCUGCUGGUCCAGUUAUGGGUGUAUUAUAUGUAUCUACGGCGAAGCUUGCUUAUUGUAGCGACAAUCCUCUUUCAUACAAGUCUGACGGGAAAACCGAAUGGAGCUAUUACAAGGUAGUUAUCCCAUUGCAGCAACUAAAGGCAGUUAAUCCUUCCUCGAGUGGGAUGAAUCCCGCUGAAAAGUACAUACAGGUAAUCUCUGGUGAUAACCAUGAAUUCUGGUUCAUGGGCUUCUUAAACUACAAUGGUGCUGUAGAAUGCUUGCUAGAAUUUCCUGAGUUACGAGCAAUGCAGUCGGUUUAAAACGUUGUCGCGGUUGAAACUUCCACACAUGCGCCACGCUAAAGUCUAAG